This 701-nucleotide ribosomal RNA is filed under the name Listeria cossartiae subsp. cossartiae. RNAcentral describes it as "partial 16S ribosomal RNA". It matches the Rfam family "Bacterial small subunit ribosomal RNA", at positions 839 to 1533 of the family's 1533-position model. Lineage: Bacteria; Bacillati; Bacillota; Bacilli; Caryophanales; Listeriaceae. The record is from RNAcentral.
CUUAGUGCUGCAGCUAACGCAUUAAGCACUCCGCCUGGGGAGUACGACCGCAAGGUUGAAACUCAAAGGAAUUGACGGGGGCCCGCACAAGCGGUGGAGCAUGUGGUUUAAUUCGAAGCAACGCGAAGAACCUUACCAGGUCUUGACAUCCUUUGACCACUCUGGAGACAGAGCUUUCCCUUCGGGGACAAAGUGACAGGUGGUGCAUGGUUGUCGUCAGCUCGUGUCGUGAGAUGUUGGGUUAAGUCCCGCAACGAGCGCAACCCUUGAUUUUAGUUGCCAGCAUUUAGUUGGGCACUCUAAAGUGACUGCCGGUGCAAGCCGGAGGAAGGUGGGGAUGACGUCAAAUCAUCAUGCCCCUUAUGACCUGGGCUACACACGUGCUACAAUGGAUAGUACAAAGGGUCGCGAAGCCGCGAGGUGGAGCUAAUCCCAUAAAACUAUUCUCAGUUCGGAUUGUAGGCUGCAACUCGCCUACAUGAAGCCGGAAUCGCUAGUAAUCGUGGAUCAGCAUGCCACGGUGAAUACGUUCCCGGGCCUUGUACACACCGCCCGUCACACCACGAGAGUUUGUAACACCCGAAGUCGGUAGGGUAACCUUUAUGGAGCCAGCCGCCGAAGGUGGGACAGAUAAUUGGGGUGAAGUCGUAACAAGGUAGCCGUAUCGGAAGGUGCGGCUGGAUCACCUCCUUUCUAAGGAA